GGUCCCGUAGCUCAGUAGGAUAGAGCGGCAGAUUCCUAAUCUGUAGGUCGCAAGUUCGAUUCUUGCCGGGAUCACCA
This 77-nucleotide transfer RNA is filed under the name Mesorhizobium sp. B2-4-17. RNAcentral describes it as "tRNA-Arg". It matches the Rfam family "tRNA". Rfam says of the family: Transfer RNA (tRNA) molecules are approximately 80 nucleotides in length. Their secondary structure includes four short double-helical elements and three loops (D, anti-codon, and T loops). Lineage: Bacteria; Pseudomonadati; Pseudomonadota; Alphaproteobacteria; Hyphomicrobiales; Phyllobacteriaceae. The record is from RNAcentral.